UACGUAGGGUGCAAGCGUUGUCCGGAAUUAUUGGGCGUAAAGAGCUCGUAGGCGGUCUGUCGCGUCUGCUGUGAAAACCUAGGGCUUAACUCUGGGCGUGCAGUGGGUACGGGCAGGCUAGAGUGCGGUAGGGGAGACUGGAAUUCCUGGUGUAGCGGUGAAAUGCGCAGAUAUCAGGAGGAACACCGAUGGCGAAGGCAGGUCUCUGGGCCAUAACUGACGCUGAGAAGCGAAAGCAUGGGGAGCGAACAGG
Molecule: ribosomal RNA, 253 nt
Filed under: uncultured bacterium
Lineage: Bacteria
Description: partial 16S ribosomal RNA
Rfam family: Bacterial small subunit ribosomal RNA
Source: RNAcentral